This 888-nucleotide ribosomal RNA is filed under the name Pseudozyma sp. Y7-09. RNAcentral describes it as "eukaryotic LSU rRNA". The stretch from base 406 to 888 matches the Rfam family "Eukaryotic large subunit ribosomal RNA", at positions 1 to 487 of the family's 3401-position model. Lineage: Eukaryota; Fungi; Basidiomycota; Ustilaginomycetes; Ustilaginales; Ustilaginaceae. The record is from RNAcentral.
GAUACGCUUUUAAGAGUCGAGUUGUUUGGGAAUGCAGCUCAAAAUGGGUGGUAAAUGCCAUCUUAGGUUAAAUAUGGGGGAGAGACCGAUAGCGAACAAGUACAGUGAUGGAAAGAUGAAAAGACCUUGAAAAGAGAGUUAAACAGUACGUGAAAUUGCCAAAAGGGAAGGGUAGGAGGUCAGAGAUGCGGCCUGGGAUUCAGCCUUGCUUUUGCUUGGUGUUUUUCCCAGAUUGCAGGCCAACGUCGGUUUUGGGCACUGGAGAAGGGUAGGAGGAACGUGGCACCUCUCGGGGUGUGUUAUAGCUUCUUACUGGAUACAGCGACCGAGACCGAGGACAGCAGCGUACUCGCAAGAGCGGGCCUUCGGGCACCUUUACGCUUAGGGCGUGGGCAUAAUGGCCCUCUACCACCCGUCUGAAACACGGACCCGAUUGCAUAUCAAUAAGCGGAGGAAAAGAAACUAACAAGGAUUCCCCUAGUAACGGCGAGUGAAGAGGGAAGAGCCCAAGAUUGAAAGCUGGCGUCUUCGGCGUCCGCAUUGUAAUCUCAAGAAGUGUUUUCCGCUUCGGACCAAGCCUAAGUCCCUUGGAAAAGGGCAUCAUAGAGGGUGAUAAUCCCGUACAUGGCUUGGAGCGCCCGAAGCUUUGUGAUACGCUUUCUAAGAGUCGAGUUGUUUGGGAAUGCAGCUCAAAAUGGGUGGUAAAUGCCAUCUAAGGCUAAAUAUUGGGGAGAGACCGAUAGCGAACAAGUACAGUGAUGGAAAGAUGAAAAGAACUUUGAAAAGAGAGUUAAACAGUACGUGAAAUUGCCAAAAGGGAAGGUAAGGAGGUCAGAGAUGCGGCCUUGGAUUCAGCCUUGCUUUUGCUUGUAUUUUUCCCAGAUUGCA